CAAGGAAUAGUUUAAGUAGAAUAUCAGCUUUGGGUGCUGAUGGUGGAGCUGGAGGUUUCUUCCUUGA
Molecule: transfer RNA, 67 nt
Filed under: Megaerops niphanae (Ratanaworabhan's fruit bat)
Lineage: Eukaryota; Metazoa; Chordata; Mammalia; Chiroptera; Pteropodidae
Description: tRNA-Pro
Rfam family: tRNA
About the family: Transfer RNA (tRNA) molecules are approximately 80 nucleotides in length. Their secondary structure includes four short double-helical elements and three loops (D, anti-codon, and T loops). Further hydrogen bonds mediate the characteristic L-shaped molecular structure. tRNAs have two regions of fundamental functional importance: the anti-codon, which is responsible for specific mRNA codon recognition, and the 3' end, to which the tRNAs corresponding amino acid is attached (by aminoacyl-tRNA synthetases). tRNAs cope with the degeneracy of the genetic code in two manners: having more than one tRNA (with a specific anti-codon) for a particular amino acid; and 'wobble' base-pairing, i.e. permitting non-standard base-pairing at the 3rd anti-codon position.
Source: RNAcentral